CCUACGGGCGGCUGCAGCUAAGAAUCUUCCGCAAUGGACGAAAGUCUGACGGAGCGACGCCGUGUGAAUGAAGAAGGCCGAAAGGUUGUAAAAUUCUUUUGCAGAUGAAGAAUAAACAUAGGAGGGAAUGCCUGUGAGAUGACGGUAAUCAUGCGAAUAAGCCCCGGCUAAUUACGUGCCAGCAGCCGCGGUAACACGUAAGGGGCGAGCGUUGUUCGGAAUUAUUGGGCGUAAAGGGUAUGUAGGCGGUUAGGUAAGCCUGGUGUGAAAUCUACGAGCUCAACUCGUAAACUGCAUUGGGUACUGCUUAACUUGAAUCACGGAGGGGAAACCGGAAUUCCAAGUGUAGGGGUGGAAUCUGUAGAUAUUUGGAAGAACACCGGUGGCGAAGGCGGGUUUCUGGCCGAUGAUUGACGCUGAUAUACGAAGGUGCGGGGAGCAAACAGGAUUAGAUACCCCAGUAGUC
This 466-nucleotide ribosomal RNA is filed under the name uncultured Treponema sp. RNAcentral describes it as "bacterial SSU rRNA". It matches the Rfam family "Bacterial small subunit ribosomal RNA", at positions 338 to 795 of the family's 1533-position model. Lineage: Bacteria; Pseudomonadati; Spirochaetota; Spirochaetia; Treponematales; Treponemataceae. The record is from RNAcentral.